This is a small nuclear RNA of Zingiber officinale, 203 nucleotides long. RefSeq annotates it as U2 spliceosomal RNA. The record is from RefSeq and is a predicted model, not a curated record. NCBI's taxonomy places the organism in Eukaryota, Viridiplantae, Streptophyta, Magnoliopsida, Zingiberales, Zingiberaceae. The transcript has a single exon.
AUACUUUUUUCAGCCUUUUAGCUAAAAUCAAAUGUAGUAUUUGUUUUUAUCUGUUUAAUAUUUGAUAUGUGGGUCAUCAGCUCACUAUGAUAUUAAAUUAAUUUUUUUAUGAGGAAAGGGCUCAUCACAGUCACUUGCUAUUGGAAUCCUCGUGUGUUGGUCAUCCUUGUGUUGUACUAUUGUAUGGGCUUGGCGCACCCGAC